GACGAACGCUGGCGGCGUGCUUAACACAUGCAAGUCGAACGGGAUCCGGGCUUUCGGGUUUGGUGAGAGUGGCGAACGGGUGAGUAACACGUGAGUAACCUGCCCCCUUCUUUGGGAUAACGUCGGGAAAUCGGCGCUAAUACUGGAUAUUCUUGCUGCAUCGCAUGGUGUGGUUUGGAAAGGGUUUCUGGUGGGGGAUGGGCUCGCGGCCUAUCAGCUUGUUGGUGGGGUGAUGGCCUACCAAGGCUUUGACGGGUAGCCGGCCUGAGAGGGUGUCCGGCCACACUGGGACUGAGACACGGCCCAGACUCCUACGGGAGGCAGCAGUGGGGAAGAUUGCACAAUGGGCGCAAGCCUGAUGCAGCGACGCCGCGUGAGGGAUGACGGCCUUCGGGUUGUAAACCUCUUUCAGUAUGGAACAAGGAUCCUUCUUUUGGGGGGUUUGAGGGUACGUGCAGAAGAAGCGCCGGCUAACUACGUG
RNAcentral lists this ribosomal RNA (481 nucleotides) under uncultured bacterium. RNAcentral's name for it is "partial 16S ribosomal RNA". It matches the Rfam family "Bacterial small subunit ribosomal RNA", at positions 28 to 507 of the family's 1533-position model. The record is from RNAcentral.